GAUGAACGCUGGCGGCGUGCCUAAUACAUGCAAGUCGAGCGAACAGACGGGGAGCUUGCUCCUCUGACGUUAGCGGCGGACGGGUGAGUAACACGUGGAUAACCUACCUAUAAGACUGGGAUAACUUCGGGAAACCGGAGCUAAUACCGGAUAAUAUAUUGAACCGCAUGGUUCAAUAGUAAAAGACGGUUUUGCUGUCACUUAUAGAUGGAUCCGCGCCGCAUUAGCUAGUUGGUAAGGUAACGGCUUACCAAGGCAACGAUGCGUAGCCGACCUGAGAGGGUGAUCGGCCACACUGGAACUGAGACACGGUCCAGACUCCUACGGGAGGCAGCAGUAGGGAAUCUUCCGCAAUGGGCGAAAGCCUGACGGAGCAACGCCGCGUGAGUGAUGAAGGUCUUCGGAUCGUAAAACUCUGUUAUUAGGGAAGAACAAAUGUGUAAGUAACUAUGCACGUCUUGACGGUACCUAAUCAGAAAGCCACGGCUAACUACGUG
RNAcentral lists this ribosomal RNA (497 nucleotides) under uncultured bacterium. RNAcentral describes it as "partial 16S ribosomal RNA". It matches the Rfam family "Bacterial small subunit ribosomal RNA", at positions 28 to 507 of the family's 1533-position model. The record is from RNAcentral.